Long non-coding RNA from Scatophagus argus, 891 nucleotides. RefSeq lists it as uncharacterized. The transcript has 2 exons. The record is from RefSeq and is a predicted model, not a curated record. Lineage: Eukaryota; Metazoa; Chordata; Actinopteri; Scatophagidae.
CCAGGUGGAUUAAAAGAAAACAACAAAAGAACAUACAGUUAACUAAAUACACUAAAAGCCAAAAAGAGACUGUUUAAUUGCCAUAUUUUUAUUUGUUCACACUGGCAAAUUGUUCACAUUGGCAUUGUUAGUUUCCCUAUUGAAAUUGAAUGCACCACACAGUUCACAUAGCCCCACGUGGGGGGUUGCGUAGUCUAAGCAGCCAAUCAGGAGUCACGCAGGCCACGCUCUGUCUGUCGUCGCGAAAAACGAAGUGCAAGCGCGUUCUUCUUCAGCCCUUUGCAAUUUCAGCCAGAGAAGCAUGGUCAGCUGCGUGUGAAGAGGAAAAGGAAAAAGAGGGGAAAUACUCGAAGUUACGUUGAAAAGAGAAAAGCAAGAGUCGUAGCACAUCCACUGGAGGUCCGGAGCAGUGUGACAGAACAACAGAAGGAAAGUUACGUCGGCUAACUGCUUGCCCUUCAUCUGGAGAGCUAUUACGAAGUUCGACACCAGCGUGCUUCACCUUGAUUUGCACACAGCAACGGUCAGGUUUUUUUUUCUUGAGGACGAACGUGGUCCACAACGAACUUGCUGAAACUGAUGGCGAGCCAAAUACCCUGAAGAAAGUCCAGCACCGAGGAGAUUACCCACGUAUAUGCACCCAUUCACACGCACACUAAACACUUACAUUACAAUACAACGAUCCUUGGAAACAGGUUCACUACAUCAACUCUACAACAAUUACACUUCAAACAACUUUCAUUUCAUUCAAGGGCCCCAACGGACAUUUCUUUUAUUUUCCAGUGUGCACACUACUUUUUUAUUUUUCUUCAACUGUUGUUGUACCUCAUAUCCUGUACAAACAAUUUACUUGGUUCAUUGUGCACAAUAUAAGAGUGGCUACUCAACUGU